CGUCGAUGCUUCCAACCGUGGUACAAUUAUUAAGAGGUAUCUCGAUAAUUGAGGAAUGACAGAAGCCGAAAGUCACAAAUACAUGAAGACAUCGUGCCUACGUUCCGUCCGUCCGUCAGCCUUCAGUCAUUCCAGGUUAAUGGUGGCUUAAUAUAACUCCGUUCGGAAAACGGAGACCGAGUGAACGGAGCAUGGAGCUUUUCUUCGAUUCGGUUCGGUUCGGUUCGGGCCGCGCGGUUCGAGGAUCAUAACUUUGACGGUCCACCGAGUGGGAGGCGGAGGCGGUCUGUGUUUCGUAUUUUGAAAAAUACAGCGAGGAGAUGAGAGGAGGUGAGAGGAUAGGAGAGGCGCGGAGAGGAGAGGAGAGGAAGAGAGAAUUUGGACCGCGUCACCGACGGUGGUGGGGAUCCAGUUCCAGGAGCUUGCGAGAACCGGGGUUCUCGGCGAGCUUGCGGCCUCCACGAGCCGAUCCUGCAGUCGAGCAGAGAUACCGUAGUCGAAAAGAAGCCCUCCGUCCCAAGGGAUCGUGGAGAUUGUAUUCGGCGUCGAGUCCGUGCGGGGAUCACAAACGGUAUACCAUAACCGCGAUAUUCCCAACGAGGAUCAUCAAGACGGCAAAUAUACUUUGAGAAAAUCAAAGGCUAGCUCCGGACUCGUGUACCAAGGAGAAAAAGAACACGUUCAAGGAUCCGCAAACAUGCCGCCAGUUUCAGAAACCAGCAACAUCCUCACCACCUACCUUAUUCUCAUUCUGCUGCUCAUCUCAUUAUGGAUCCUCUACGCAGGUGUCUUUUAGAACAGACAUUCCCACCAUGGAUUCGCUGGGUUAACAUUAUGCUUUGAAGCAUGGCUGGUCAAAGACAUGGGGGCUCCCAGCCAACCGAAACUGCACCGCCACCGGCCCCACCAUCCAUAAACAUCACUAACAUCAUUCUACUUGAUUAUUUAUGACAUAAUUUAUUAUACACAUCUAUAUACAUAUAUUAUACAUUAUAUUGUACUCUGUAAUUAUACUGUUUAUCAUCGUUGUA
Molecule: unclassified non-coding RNA, 1031 nt
Filed under: Neodiprion lecontei (redheaded pine sawfly)
Lineage: Eukaryota; Metazoa; Arthropoda; Insecta; Hymenoptera; Diprionidae
Description: carbohydrate sulfotransferase 11, transcript variant X5
Source: RNAcentral